AGUGUCCGCAGUCUCCCAAGUGUUGCAGGACCUCCUCCACUGUCUGAAUAUGCUUGAACUACCCUUGCCGCUUCAUGUAGUUCAGGACUUGGCAGAUGCUUGGCCUCCCAUGCAUGAAAUGUGCUGAAAUAAAAUGUUUGUGCAGAUGUAUAAUUAGACAGCAAAAAACAGACUUCUAGAAAAUGAAGCCAAAAAUCAUUGAAUAAUUCUUACAAAUGUUGUAUAAUGCAUCCAGAUUUGUCUGCUGCCUCCUCCAUCUGUCGUAACAAUACUUUCCAAGGACUUUUGGCCAGUUGUCAAGUCCCCAUCUUUUUCAUCUGCCUUAGGCUACUCGUCUGUCUUUGCAGUCAUAGAAUCCAGCACUUCUCUGUCCCUGGAAAGCAAAGUCAGAUCUGGUUUCAGAAGAAUUGUAAGAACACAUCAAGAAGGACAAAUUCUACUUAUACCACAGUCACUGACUAUCCUGAAUCCAUGUGCAAAUCUAACCUUGAGGUUGAAGUUCGGUCCAUGUCCUGCUCAUUUGCCAUACAAACAUCAAACCUGUAGGGGAAAGAAAAUGUCAACGUGUUUAAAUUGGUUUUACCAAGAAUAAGUCAACAGUAAUUCUAUCAGAUGUAGGCGCUGUAAAAUAAGCAGACCCUCCAAGGACACUCAUCCUGUCCUCUUCCAAGCUGAUCCUUGCAUUGGCACAAACCAAUGAUUUUGUUUUAAAUUAUGUGCCAGUCUAAAUCUCAGCACUCCUUUUGGAUUGGUGGCCGCCCUGUAAAGACACUCAGAAAUUUCAAUGCACACAUUUAUAAUCUGCUCGUGCACACACAUCCAAUACCUUUUUAUAACCUAUAGGGAAUGAGGUAACAAAACUCACUUAACUGAUUUGCUUAAAUAUUUCAGUGACAUUAAAAGUUUGCCAGCAUUUCCGGAUCAGAAAAUCGUACCUCCAUAUUUUAUUCCAGAUUUUGUGUAUAUUCUCUCCAGGUACUGUCUGAAUCCCAGGAGCAAUGGGGCAUCAGCUGACUGCUUUUUGUUUAACCCAGCCUUCUCUAUAUAGAUCAUAAUUGUUACUGUAGCCAGUAUGAUCCAUGAACAUCUACUAAGGCCUUGUACCUUGACCCAAGAAGUGGAUGCUCUUCAUCAUUUCUUCAUAGUCCUCCUUUUCAUCCUGAAUUGGGUUCUUAGCUGCUUGCUUUGUGAUACAGUUUCAGUAAAGGAAGAGUGAGAUUCCAUUGUAUCAUUGAAAUAAAACCAUGUAUAAAAAAUCUUGAAAAAACAGUAUGGAGUGCCAACCUAUUAUGAUAGCUUGUCACAAAAUAAACAUCGCUUGGCAGGCCAAAGUGUAAGCAAUACUGGCAGGCCAACUGCCUUCUGUCUUUUUUUUUUCUAGGCAAAAAUCCUCUGUAGCAAUUAAGCAAUUUUUCUAUUCCUAUAGGAGCUGAAGAAAAAACAGAAAAGGUGACGUCAAUUAUGCAACACAUAACCACAAGCAGCACUUGUAUUGCAAAGUCAACCACAAGUCAAGGAUCCCUAAACCCAAACCAAAUCUUUCUCUCUCCGCAACCAAAUCAGGUUUCCCUGGUUUGUCCUUGUUGCUUCAAAGUGGACAAAAACUUGACAACUCAUCUAUGGAGGAAAUGUAGGAGAUUUAGCUCAUUGGAAGAGGUCAAAGUUGCACAGACUGCCUGGUGUCGCUUGUGGAACAUUGCUGAGACCUGACUGAUUUAGAUCUAAUGUGAUCUUUAGAGUACCACAAACCAGAAGACUACAAGUAACACACCAACCGGAGUAAGUAAUAUUUCCACAAUCGUCAACAUAGUGAGGGACAGAUCAAGCAGUGAAAUGUGAACUUGCCAAGGACAUCUGAGUUUCUGAAGAAAAUAAGAGCUUCAUUGCGUUGAAGGACAUCUAAGUCAUCAGUUAAACUGCAA
Molecule: long non-coding RNA, 1922 nt
Organism: Xenopus tropicalis (tropical clawed frog)
Lineage: Eukaryota; Metazoa; Chordata; Amphibia; Anura; Pipidae
Exons: 4
Source: RefSeq, a predicted model, not a curated record